Molecule: long non-coding RNA, 2915 nt
Organism: Anneissia japonica
Lineage: Eukaryota; Metazoa; Echinodermata; Crinoidea; Comatulida; Comatulidae
Exons: 2
Source: RefSeq, a predicted model, not a curated record
UUGGUAUUUUUGUUUUUAAUUUUUUCAAUUUACUUGAUCUUGAGAAUGGUUCCAUGAUGAACUCGAAACGUCGAUCUUUCUUGUCAUUAAAUUUUGUUUUGAAAAAAGUAUCAUAAUAUAAUUAAAGCUAACAAUUAAUUCUGUGGACCUUAGCAGCUUGUAAUGUAGCGAGUCCUGCUGAGAAACUGUAACCCUCCAGCACUCAGGUGCUGUAGACAGUUCAAUUUAUUGAGUACUUUCAUCUGAAAGAUGACAAUAGAAAACUUGCCAUCAUACAAAUUAUGGACCUUUUCAGCUUGACGUCAUAUUUGACUGUCACAGAUGUUGGUGACAAAACAUUGAUAAUCCUGAUUUUCUUAAAGAAUAAUUAAUGUUUUGCUGUUUUAUAACUUUUUGUAUUUAUUUAAUUUUAAGAAAUUGUAAAUAUAUAUUGUAUUUUCUGGUGUAGCUAACAAGUUUUAAAAAAGUAAUUUGAUAGUAAAUAUGCUUAUAGAGAUUUUAUCAGAGAGCUUUCACGAUGAAAAUUAUUUGUGAUUUUAAUAGCUUGUUACAUUUUACUGUUUUAAAGAUGCUCUGAAAUUUAAAAAUGAAAACCUUCAUACAUGUCUUUCAACAUAUUUUUAUAACAAAAUUUGGCACUGUUAAGACACUCGUCCUACAACAAUGUCACAUGGUACAGUCAGUAGCAACCUUAAAUUAAUAAUUGGACUAUCAUGAUGUGUAAUUAGAUCAUUCUCUAUUUCUAAGCCUAUUAAGUCAACUGAUUGAUAUACUGCGUAUUCACAGUUUGGCAUAACAGCUAAGAGCUCUCACCAGCUAAAUCCAGGGGCCAUGGGCCUUUAAGGGCCCAGGAUAUAUUAUCUUUUUUGCCAGCGGGGUGUUUUUAAGGAGCACUAAACAUGUAAAAGAAGCCACCAUAAUGCUCCAUUAAAACAUCAAAAGUCGGGGUCUUACCGGGCAGUAGGGCCCCCGAAGAACCGGUAGCUAGGGGUCCUAGUUGCGCCACUAUACAUGAACAUGUUGCUUCACUGUCACAAAGUUCAUGAUGCUAAAUUAAAGUAUGGGCUCAUAUUAAAUGAUCAUUGCAUCAAAUCGUGUGUCUGCCACUUUAAAAUAACGGAAUAAAGCUUGUAAAUUAAAGGUAUACUGUCUGUUGGGCUAAGAAUGUUAAUACAAUUUGUAAUUAGGAAGGAAGGACAAACAAUAUUUUCUUUGCCAAUUUAACAGAUGCAUAAAUAGUACCAUAUCCUUACUUUAGGAUCCUAGACCCAUGGUUAAUAAUCAUUCAACGAUUUUCUUGUAAAAAUGUAGAAAUUAGCUGAAACUGAAUUUUCCAAUUCUGGGUCUCAAUGAAAGUUGAUUUAAAUAUACAACGCUCUAUUAAUUUUUGAGUGAUUUUCUUUAAGAUUUUGAAUUAAUCUGGAUUAUCAGAACAUGUUAAAUAGAUGUAAAAAAACUGAAGAUAAAGUUUUGUGUAAAUUUAUUCUGUAAUAUAUAUUGAUGUGACAAUUAUUGUAAACUAUAAAUGUGGAACUAUUAGAGAAAAGAUCAGUAUUAUGACAAUUGCAUAAAUAAUUGGAAAAACAAUAUUUUAAUUGCUUUGGCUAGAGUUCCGGUACCAGACCUAGCCAUAGUGUAUUUUUAUUCCAGUUUACAAAUUACUAGCAUUAUGUAUGUACUCUUGAAAAAUAAGAAUUAGCUGGUUUAUUCAAUAAAUGGGGUAUGUCAACCACAAAUUGUGCUUUAUUAAGACAGAAAAAAUUAUUUUCUAAACUUAUAAUUUUGACACAUUCUUUAACAAACACGUUUUUGGUAGUUGAAAGUAAGCAAAUCAAAUGUUGUAUUUAUAAAGAAAAAAUGCUUGUUCAAAAACAGCUAUAAAUUAUUAAUUUACAUUUCUAAAAAAUGUAUAACAAUUGAGAAAAAGAAACUGUUAUUCAUCUUGUUUUAUGCAGUUAUUUGACUAUGUUGCUGGUUCCAUUCCAAUCUGUAUUCUAUAUUGCUAAAUGUUCAUUAAGCACUAAAUUUAUAUUAAUUAUUUUUAUUUGUUUAUUUAAUUUUAUUUAGAUUUGUCUAGAUUGUCUUUCAAAUCUCUACAAUUAUGUUUGAAAGAACAGGAAAUAAAAGUGUUGUGUUUUUCCACACUCAUGUUUAAUAUGACAGACAUCUGUGAUUUGCCAAUAUAAUGAUAUAUCAUAUCCAUAUAUGGGAAAUAUGAUGUCAUAUCACAUCCAUAGAUAUGCAAUAUGAUGAUAUAUCACAUCCAUACAUAGGUCAUAUGAUGAUAUAUCACACCCAUAUAUGUACAAUAUGAUGUCAUAUCACACCACAUCCAUAUACUGUAUAUGCAAUAUGAUGUCACAUCACAUCCAUAUAUGCAAUAUGAUGUUAUAUCACAUCCAUAUAUGGGAAAUAUGAUGAUAUAAUAUUACAUCUAUAUAUGUGCAUAUCACAGUUAUCACAUAAAACAUAAUCAGAAGACAAGAAAACGUUUCAAAAUCAAACAUUAAAAUGGUUAAUGAAUGGAAGUUGAAAGAUUGUUUCCAGGGUUGUGGUAGAGUUAAGUCUAUACAGAAAUGGGUUGGAGGUUUGCAUGGUCAUCUGUACCAGCGAACACCUGUUCGGUGGUAAAGAUAAGGGACUAGAUAAUAAUUAGUAUUGUUAUUAUAAGGAGAUAGGCGUGGUUGAUCAGAAUAUGUGUGUUCAUGUAUUCUGGCGGAUUUUUGUUUGUUUGUUUGUUUUUUUUUUUUUUUUGAACCAGUAACUGCUUAAGGAAUUUCAAAGAUGUAAAUAGAAGCGUUCUCAGGGCUUUUGGCACACAGACUUUGAGUCUUCUAAAUUAUUUAUGACAUUGAAUUUCUACUAUGCAUGACAAUUUGUUUUGUAAUGAAUAAAUGUGACAGGGUCAUAAUGGA